Molecule: small RNA, 29 nt
Filed under: Bombyx mori (domestic silkworm)
Lineage: Eukaryota; Metazoa; Arthropoda; Insecta; Lepidoptera; Bombycidae
Description: ovarian small RNA-14175
Source: RNAcentral
CGACCAUGCGGUCCAUCACGGCCGGCAGG